Molecule: ribosomal RNA, 253 nt
Filed under: uncultured bacterium
Lineage: Bacteria
Description: partial 16S ribosomal RNA
Rfam family: Bacterial small subunit ribosomal RNA
Source: RNAcentral
GACAUAGGUCGCGAACGUUAUUCGGAAUUAUUGGGCGUAAAGGGCGCGUAGGCGGCUUGGCAAGUGGAUGGUGAAAUCCCUCGGCUUAACCGAGGAACUGCCGUCCAAACUGCUUCGCUUGAGACCGGGAGAGGUGAGUGGAAUUCCCAGUGUAGCGGUGAAAUGCGUAGAUAUUGGGAGGAACACCAGUGGCGAAGGCGGCUCACUGGACCGGUACUGACGCUGAUGCGCGAAAGCGUGGGGAGCAAACGGG